AGGGUCAUCAACAGAUGUUACUUAUGAAUCGGAUGCAGACGUGUUACCUCCACUUCUGCGUCUUAAUCAGCCAGCUAUUGAAACCAUUUGGCUAACUGAUUCGGAUUAAUAUGGUUUUUAGGGAGGUAUUUAUUAUUGUUGAAAACAUGAACGUUAGAGAUCACUGUUAACAGAUAGAGUUGUUGGAAAUGAUUGUCAUGUGUACUCUACGCUAUGAGACUUAAAUGUUUUAAAAUCAAUGAGGUGAACCCUUCACUAACCGAAGAUAACCACAAUCUGGAGACCAUCUUGCAUGCUCGAUCCAAGGUUCGUCGUUCGGCUCCCAAGAUCUCAGACCUUGACGACAAUAAAAACAUAAGACAUCAUCAUUUGAUCCAUCACCAAUAUAAAUAAAACCGGCUUCACUCAUAAGUUCUCGCUUUGAAAUAAGUAGUGUAUUACUACAUUUAUCAAAAGUCUUGUUACGCGUUUUACAAUCUAAAUAGUCUAAUGUACAAAAAACAUCACAUUCACUAUUAUA
This is a long non-coding RNA of Adelges cooleyi (spruce gall adelgid), 520 nucleotides long. RefSeq lists it as uncharacterized. NCBI's taxonomy places the organism in Eukaryota, Metazoa, Arthropoda, Insecta, Hemiptera, Adelgidae. The transcript is spliced from 4 exons. The record is from RefSeq and is a predicted model, not a curated record.